GCUGAUGCGUUGUUGGGUAGGGGAGCGUUCUGUAAGCCUGCGAAGGUGGCCUGUGAGGGUUGCUGGAGGUAUCAGAAGUGCGAAUGCUGACAUAAGUAACGAUAAAGCGGGUGAAAAGCCCGCUCGCCGGAAGACCAAGGGUUCCUGUCCAACGUUAAUCGGGGCAGGGUGAGUCGACCCCUAAGGCGAGGCCGAAAGGCGUAGUCGAUGGGAAACGGGUUAAUAUUCCCGUACUUGGUGUUACUGCGAAGGGGGGACGGAGAAGGCUAUGUUGGCCGGGCGACGGUUGUCCCGGUUUAAGCGUGUAGGUGUGUGUUCCAGGUAAAUCCGGUUCACUUUAACACUGAGGCGUGACGACGAGGCACUACGGUGCUGAAGCAACAAAUGCCCUGCUUCCAGGAAAAGCCUCUAAGCAUCAGGUAACACGAAAUCGUACCCCAAACCGACACAGGUGGUCAGGUAGAGAAUACCAAGGCGCUUGAGAGAACUCGGGUGAAGGAACUAGGCAAAAUGGUGCCGUAACUUCGGGAGAAGGCACGCUGACACGUAGGUGAAGUGAUUUACUCAUGGAGCUGAAGUCAGUCGAAGAUACCAGCUGGCUGCAACUGUUUAUUAAAAACACAGCACUGUGCAAACACGAAAGUGGACGUAUACGGUGUGACGCCUGCCCGGUGCCGGAAGGUUAAUUGAUGGGGUCAGCGCAAGCGAAGCUCCUGAUCGAAGCCCCGGUAAACGGCGGCCGUAACUAUAACGGUCCUAAGGUAGCGAAAUUCCUUGUCGGGUAAGUUCCGACCUGCACGAAUGGCGUAAUGAUGGCCAGGCUGUCUCCACCCGAGACUCAGUGAAAUUGAACUCGCUGUGAAGAUGCAGUGUACCCGCGGCAAGACGGAAAGACCCCGUGAACCUUUACUAUAGCUUGACACUGAACAUUGAGCCUUGAUGUGUAG
Molecule: ribosomal RNA, 947 nt
Filed under: Salmonella enterica
Lineage: Bacteria; Pseudomonadati; Pseudomonadota; Gammaproteobacteria; Enterobacterales; Enterobacteriaceae
Also listed under: 1 other name
Description: bacterial LSU rRNA
Rfam family: Bacterial large subunit ribosomal RNA
Source: RNAcentral